This 58-nucleotide transfer RNA is filed under the name Illinigina sp. EMHAU-15062817. Its description in RNAcentral is "tRNA-Arg". Lineage: Eukaryota; Metazoa; Arthropoda; Insecta; Hemiptera; Cicadellidae. The record is from RNAcentral.
ACAAAGAAGUAAAUAAUUACAUUUAGUUUCGACCUAAAAAUAGGAAGUAUCCCAUGUU